AUCAGAUGGUGGUAUGAGCUGUUGUCAUGCUUUGUGAAUAGGGACCCUAUAAAUUCCUUAGGUAGAUUGACAUACUAAUGUUGGAGGCUCCUGCAGCAGAGAGAUUUCCAGAGCUGAUGCAGAGCAUCUCUGCAGUGUAGAGGGCAGUACUAAUUCAGAGCUCAGAUUCAAACUGGUUCUUAGAAGCAGGAUAUAGGUGAUAAGGAGAUGGCCUCACUGAAAGAAAUAAAAGAGGCAACCUGAAGCCUAGUUGAUUAAUUUGCCUACUGGAGAUCAAGGUCUUUAUUUUUCUACUUCCUUCUUGGAUUUAUCAGAGUAACUGUGACAAGUGAAAGUCAAACAACAGUAAUGUCAAAAAGCUUUCAAAUAAAAACCAAGAUAUGGAUUUGAUUCAAAUGGAUUUGUUGGGAAUCUCUUAAGAAGAUGUAUUUCCUUCUCAGGAAAGAGGGAGGCAACUACCUGACACCUGGAGAUUAUGAAAGUCAUGAAAUUCAGCCAAAAUCUGUUGGCAAUACUUGAACGAAGCCAACACAAUUUACUGAUAUUGUAUUUUCUGCAAUGUCUUCAAGAGCAGAAGAAUGGACUAGGGACUUUAAAAGAGAGAAAAGGUAAAACUUUUGACAUUUUUAGGAAAUAAAAAUUGCAACUUUGUAAUUACCAUAUUUUGAGUCUGCUAUGAAAAAGGUACCAUAAUAACAUAAACCAUAUAAUAACACAAAACUGUUCACACUGGGUCAAAUCAAAGAUUCAUCCAGGUCUGUAACCUGUUAUUAGUUGUGAGAGACAGCAGACACCUGUGUAGGAAUAUGACAAGUCAAUCAUGUAGACAAAUAUACCCAAUAUAUUCCUUGUCUAAAGUUAUCUGGGUUUCUGCAGAUAGAUGUCUUAUAUAAUAUGAAAUAAUACUUCAAAAGGAAAACCACAGAGAAGUGGACAGAGGUGUUAUGUUUGUUUUUGAUAGUUGUUGAUGGGUUUCUGUGUUGACGGAUCCUCCCCCCCGUUUUUUCUAGUUGCUUUUCAAAUACAUUCCCUCAUGUGGGAAGGAGAUCAACA
This 1053-nucleotide long non-coding RNA is filed under the name Anas platyrhynchos platyrhynchos (common mallard). Its description in RNAcentral is "lncRNA (ENSAPLG00000020775.1)". Lineage: Eukaryota; Metazoa; Chordata; Aves; Anseriformes; Anatidae. The record is from RNAcentral.